RNAcentral lists this long non-coding RNA (256 nucleotides) under Lathyrus oleraceus (garden pea). Its description in RNAcentral is "Pisum sativum (pea) long non-coding RNA (PSAT_LNC018063)". The record is from RNAcentral. Lineage: Eukaryota; Viridiplantae; Streptophyta; Magnoliopsida; Fabales; Fabaceae.
UUAGGACUAGGAUCUUGACUCCUGCUUUUGGAGUUUGUAAUAUGAGGCCUUGGGAUUCAUAUGGUACCUUGACUUUGAACUUCUUUUAAAUACUUGUCUUGGUUACUUUGGUUUCAUCUGAUACAUGGAUUAUCCUUUAUUUGGUUUGCUUGAGGCUAAAUCCAAAUGAGGGAAUUCUUGCUUGACUCAUGUCAUAAAGCUUGCUAUCUCUUGGUUAGAUUUUUCCUCUCUAGCUUUUACUUUAUCUUCUAGGAAU